RNAcentral lists this ribosomal RNA (253 nucleotides) under uncultured bacterium. RNAcentral's name for it is "partial 16S ribosomal RNA". It matches the Rfam family "Bacterial small subunit ribosomal RNA", at positions 524 to 776 of the family's 1533-position model. The record is from RNAcentral.
UACAGAGGUCUCAAGCGUUGUUCGGAUUCAUUGGGCGUAAAGGGUGCGUAGGCGGCGCGGUAGGUCGGGUGUGAAAUCUCGGAGCUUAACUCCGAAACUGCAUUCGAUACUGCCGUGCUUGAGGACUGGAGAGGAGACUGGAAUUCCUGGUGUAGCGGUGAAAUGCGCAGAUAUCAGGAGGAACACCGGUGGCGAAGGCGGGUCUCUGGGCAGUAACUGACGCUGAGGAACGAAAGCGUGGGUAGCAAACAGG